CAGUACCGUGAGGGAAAGGCGAAAAGAACCCCGGCGAGGGGAGUGAAAAAGAACCUGAAACCGUGUACGUACAAGCAGUGGGAGCACCCUUUGGGGUGUGACUGCGUACCUUUUGUAUAAUGGGUCAGCGACUUAUAUUCUGUAGCAAGGUUAACCGAAUAGGGGAGCCGGAGGGAAACCGAGUCUUAAUUGGGCGUUAAGUUGCAGGGUAUAGACCCGAAACCCGGUGAUCUAGCCAUGGGCAGGUUGAAGGUUGGGUAACACUAACUGGAGGACCGAACCGACUAAUGUUGAAAAAUUAGCGGAUGACCUGUGGCUGGGGGUGAAAGGCCAAUCAAACCGGGAGAUAGCUGGUUCUCCCCGAAAGCUAUUUAGGUAGCGCCUCGUGAAUUCAUCUCCGGGGGUAGAGCACUGUUUCGGCUAGGGGGCCAUCCCGGCUUACCAACCCGAUGCAAACUGCGAAUACCGGAGAAUGUUAUCACGGGAGACACACGGCGGGUGCUAACGUCCGUCGUGAAGAGGGAAACAACCCAGACCGCCAGCUAAGGUCCCAAAGUCAUAGUUAAGUGGGAAACGAUGUGGGAAGGCCCAGACAGCCAGGAUGUUGGCUUAGAAGCAGCCAUCAUUUAAAGAAAGCGUAAUAGCUCACUGGUCGAGUCGGCCUGCGCGGAAGAUGUAACGGGGCUAAACUAUGCACCGAAGCUGCGGCAGCGACACUAUGUGUUGUUGGGUAGGGGAGCGUUCUGUAAGCCUGUGAAGGUGUGUCGUGAGGCAUGCUGGAGGUAUCAGAAGUGCGAAUGCUGACAUAAGUAACGAUAAAGCGGGUGAAAAGCCCGCUCGCCGGAAGACCAAGGGUUCCUGUCCAACGUUAAUCGGGGCAGGGUGAGUCGACCCCUAAGGCGAGGCCGAAAGGCGUAGUCGAUGGGAAACGGGUUAAUAUUCCCGUACUUGGUGUUACUGCGAAGGGGGGACGGAGAAGGCUAUGUUGGCCGGGCGACGGUUGUCCCGGUUUAAGCGUGUAGGUGUGUGUUCCAGGUAAAUCCGGUUCACUUUAACACUGAGGCGUGAUGACGAGGCACUACGGUGCUGAAGCAACAAAUGCCCUGCUUCCAGGAAAAGCCUCUAAGCAUCAGGUAACAUCAAAUCGUACCCCAAACCGACACAGGUGGUCAGGUAGAGAAUACCAAGGCGCUUGAGAGAACUCGGGUGAAGGAACUAGGCAAAAUGGUGCCGUAACUUCGGGAGAAGGCACGCUGACACGUAGGUGAAGUGAUUUACUCAUGGAGCUGAAGUCAGUCGAAGAUACCAGCUGGCUGCAACUGUUUAUUAAAAACACAGCACUGUGCAAACACGAAAGUGGACGUAUACGGUGUGACGCCUGCCCGGUGCCGGAAGGUUAAUUGAUGGGGUCAGCGCAAGCGAAGCUCCUGAUCGAAGCCCCGGUAAACGGCGGCCGUAACUAUAACGGUCCUAAGGUAGCGAAAUUCCUUGUCGGGUAAGUUCCGACCUGCACGAAUGGCGUAAUGAUGGCCAGGCUGUCUCCACCCGAGACUCAGUGAAAUUGAACUCGCUGUGAAGAUGCAGUGUACCCGCGGCAAGACGGAAAGACCCCGUGAACCUUUACUAUAGCUUGACACUGAACAUUGAGCCUUGAUGUGUAG
This 1661-nucleotide ribosomal RNA is filed under the name Salmonella enterica. RNAcentral's name for it is "partial 23S ribosomal RNA". It matches the Rfam family "Bacterial large subunit ribosomal RNA", at positions 496 to 2141 of the family's 2925-position model. The record is from RNAcentral. Lineage: Bacteria; Pseudomonadati; Pseudomonadota; Gammaproteobacteria; Enterobacterales; Enterobacteriaceae.